UGUGGCCUCACAUAUCAAUAAGCGUGAGGAAAAGAAACCAACAGGGAUUGCCUCAGUAGCGGCGAGUGAAGCGGCAAGAGCUCAGAUUUGAAAUCGUGCUUUGCGGCACGAGUUGUAGAUUGCAGGUUGGAGUCUGUGUGGAAGGCGGUGUCCAAGUCCCUUGGAACAGGGCGCCCAGGAGGGUGAGAGCCCCGUGGGAUGCCGGCGGAAGCAGUGAGGCCCUUCUGACGAGUCGAGUUGUUUGGGAAUGCAGCUCCAAGCGGGUGGUAAAUUCCAUCUAAGGCUAAAUACUGGCGAGAGACCGAUAGCGAACAAGUACUGUGAAGGAAAGAUGAAAAGCACUUUGAAAAGAGAGUGAAACAGCACGUGAAAUUGUUGAAAGGGAAGGGUAUUGCGCCCGACAUGGGGAUUGCGCACCGCUGCCUCUCGUGGGCGGCGCUCUGGGCUUUCCCUGGGCCAGCAUCGGUUCUUGCUGCAGGAGAAGGGGUUCUGGAACGUGGCUCUUCGGAGUGUUAUAGCCAGGGCCAGAUGCUGCGUGCGGGGACCGAGGACUGCGGCCGUGUAGGUCACGGAUGCUGGCAGAACGGCGCAACACCGCCCGUCUUGAAACACGGACCAAAA
RNAcentral lists this ribosomal RNA (621 nucleotides) under Pichia kudriavzevii. RNAcentral describes it as "eukaryotic LSU rRNA". It matches the Rfam family "Eukaryotic large subunit ribosomal RNA", at positions 29 to 671 of the family's 3401-position model. Lineage: Eukaryota; Fungi; Ascomycota; Pichiomycetes; Pichiales; Pichiaceae. The record is from RNAcentral.